Molecule: ribosomal RNA, 509 nt
Filed under: uncultured bacterium
Lineage: Bacteria
Description: bacterial SSU rRNA
Rfam family: Bacterial small subunit ribosomal RNA
Source: RNAcentral
GAUGAACGCUAGCGGCAGGCUUAAUACAUGCAAGUCGUGGGGCAGCAGGUUUGUAGCAAUACAGAUGCUGGCGACCGGCAAACGGGUGCGGAACACGUACAGAACCUUCCUUUGAGCGGGGAAUAGCCCAGAGAAAUUUGGAUUAAUACCCCAUAGUAUAAUGAAGUGGCAUCACUUUAUUAUUAAAGAUUUAUCACUCGAAGAUGGCUGUGCGGCUGAUUAGGUAGUUGGCGGGGUAAAGGCCCACCAAGCCUGCGAUCAGUAACUGGUGUGAGAGCACGACCAGUCACACGGGCACUGAGACACGGGCCCGACUCCUACGGGAGGCAGCAGUAAGGAAUAUUGGUCAAAUGGAGGCAACUCUGAACCAGCCAUGCCGCGUGGAGGAUGAAGGUCCUCUGGAUUGUAAACUUCUUUUAUAUGGGACGAAAAAAGGACUUUCUAAGUCGUCUGACGGUACCAUAUGAAUAAAGCAACCGGGCUAAACUCCGUGCCAGCAGCCGCGGUAA